Molecule: ribosomal RNA, 744 nt
Filed under: uncultured bacterium
Lineage: Bacteria
Description: bacterial SSU rRNA
Rfam family: Bacterial small subunit ribosomal RNA
Source: RNAcentral
AGAGUUUGAUCAUGGCUCAGGGCGAACGCUGGCGGCAGGCUUAACACAUGCAAGUCGAGCGGGCGUAGCAAUACGUCAGCGGCAGACGGGUGAGUAACGCGUGGGAACGUACCUUUUGGUUCGGAACAACACAGGGAAACUUGUGCUAAUACCGGAUAAGCCCUUACGGGGAAAGAUUUAUCGCCGAAAGAUCGGCCCGCGUCUGAUUAGCUAGUUGGUGAGGUAACGGCUCACCAAGGCGACGAUCAGUAGCUGGUCUGAGAGGAUGAUCAGCCACAUUGGGACUGAGACACGGCCCAAACUCCUACGGGAGGCAGCAGUGGGGAAUAUUGGACAAUGGGCGCAAGCCUGAUCCAGCCAUGCCGCGUGGGUGAUGAAGGCCCUAGGGUUGUAAAGCUCUUUUGUGCGGGAAGAUAAUGACGGUACCGCAAGAAUAAGCCCCGGCUAACUUCGUGCCAGCAGCCGCGGUAAUACGAAGGGGGCUAGCGUUGCUCGGAAUCACUGGGCGUAAAGGGUGCGUAGGCGGGUCUUUAAGUCAGGGGUGAAAUCCUGGAGCUCAACUCCAGAACUGCCUUUGAUACUGAGGAUCUUGAGUUCGGGAGAGGUGAGUGGAACUGCGAGUGUAGAGGUGAAAUUCGUAGAUAUUCGCAAGAACACCAGUGGCGAAGGCGGCUCACUGGCCCGAUACUGACGCUGAGGCACGAAAGCGUGGGGAGCAAACAGGAUUAGAUACCCCCGUAGUCC